RNAcentral lists this small RNA (718 nucleotides) under Malus domestica (apple). RNAcentral describes it as "sRNA MD14G0105800". The record is from RNAcentral. Lineage: Eukaryota; Viridiplantae; Streptophyta; Magnoliopsida; Rosales; Rosaceae.
UCCCAUUUUUUUUUUCAUUUCUCUCGGACCCCAUAUCUCAUAAAAAUGAAAAAAAACCUCUCUGUCUCUCACAUUUUUUUUUUCAUGUCCCCCAAUGCAUCUCUGCUCUCUUCUUCAUUACUUUAAAAAAAACGCAAUAACCUUCUGCCUCUUAGAAAUUCAGCCUCCUCAUCUCUCGUUUUUCUCUCAUUUCUCUCAUUUGUGAGAACCCGAGCCUCUCCUCUCUCGCACAGCAGCACCAACCUUGCACCCCAAAUAUUGGUAGAUCUUUGGUUGAUUGUCCAAAAAACCAGCCAUCAGCAGAUCUGUGUAUAUUAUGAAUGUGCAAAUGUCCCUGACCUGAAAGCUCUGCAACGGCAAUGAAAAGGAACAACAGCUACAACACUGCAGAUCCGGUUUAGAUCCUCAUUGAAAAGCCCUGCUGGGAAGGGUUCUGGUGGCCCAUAAACUUGGGGAGGAAAAGAUUGUGGGGAAAUUGUUUCACGAUCAGCAGGUGGUGUUUCCUCCCUUGGGCAUGACUGGGUGGCAGAUUGCUCUUCAAUUCCUGCACCAAUCUCCUCUUGAUCAUUAAAGCUCUUCCCAUAAUUUAAUGCUUGAAUCAGAAAUCCGUCAUUGCUUGUCCUCCACUGAAAGCUCUUGUGGCACAUUAAGCUGCUCAAAAUACCGCCCAAGAUGCUCUUUCAAACUUUGAGUGUAGAACUCUGAAUGUGGAUUGUUC